Molecule: long non-coding RNA, 657 nt
Organism: Mytilus californianus (California mussel)
Lineage: Eukaryota; Metazoa; Mollusca; Bivalvia; Mytilida; Mytilidae
Exons: 2
Source: RefSeq, a predicted model, not a curated record
CGCAUUUGCAACCCUAUGUAACUGAUGUUUUAGAAUUUCAACCAAAUCAGAACAUUUUUAUUCAUGGUAUGAAUAAUAAGUCCUUGUUGGGAUCUUCUGAAUUCGUUUCUAGUGUUUUAGCUAUUAGAUUGAACGCUCAGUUCAUGUAAGAAUUUACGACAAGGCUGUUGAGCAAGGUCGUAUGGUAAAGACAAGGCCAAUCUAAUGGCAAGGUCGUAUGCUGAUGACAAGGCCAAAUUAAAUAGGCAAGGUCUCACCUGACAUGGCCAGUGUGAAAAAUAAAUAUGGCAAGGUCAUUUAAAUAUAUUGUAAGCUAGUAGUAGUAUAGUAGAUUAUAUUUCUAUUUGAUAUGCACGUUUUUCAGAUAUUUUUUCAUGUGGAGUCUGGAAAUCCUUGCCUAAGCCAGUUGACCAAGAUUUAUCAUCUUUAUCUAACUGCCUACCUGAGUUCUGUCUCCAUUCGAAAGCCGAGAAUACCAAAAGAAAAUACUCUUAUGCAUUUAACAAUUUCUAUAGUUUUUGAUUGUGUUACUGUAUAUUCUAUUAUAUGAUUGGAUUGGUAGUGUGCUUGUCUGAAUUAUAGUGAAGGACUUUAGUUUGAAGAAUUGUGAAUGUAAAUAAUAUUAAAGGCUGCUACACCUGUAGGCACACUUAUCCU